AUGGGCGAUCUGAGAGUCAAGGAUUGGGUGUAGAGAGACCAGACAAUUUAAACGAGGAUGACGACGAAUACGAUGCAUAUCGUAAACGCAUGAUGUUAGCAUAUCGAUUCCGGCCAAAUCCUUUGAAUAAUCCCCGUCGUGCAUAUUACUGAUGUCAGCAGGUUCUAGUUUACGGUACCAUGAAAAUUAUAAUUUCCGAUGGCAACUGCGGGCAUUUAAUGAUGAUUGUUGGUUUAAGUGUUAAUGUAUCCAGUGUGAUGUUACUGAUAAGAGCAACAUUAUGACCAUGUCAAUAGUUAGCACAGUCUGUUAGCAUAUUUUUGGAUUUAUGCAAUAGUUAUGGUUUGAAAAGGAUUUCUCAGCUUAAAACAAGCUUUUAACAUGUGGAAGGCAAUCUGUGGGAUGUAUGUGCUAACAAUUCCUCAUGAUAUAUAAUAACUACUUUGCUAUUUCUGGACAGAAAAUUUAGCUCUGUAAACUGUGCAUGAUUUUAUUAUGACCAGCAAAAGUCAUCCUAUAAUUUUAUUCUGAUUUUUUUCUUUUCUUUUGUUUUUUUUUUUUUUACAUAUUAAUGCUCAAACCUUGAUGUCUGACAUUAUAUAUAUAGGAAUUUUAGUGUUUACAGAUAUGUAUGAAUUAUAAAACAGUGUGGAUGAGUUUUGUCUUUUUGUUUGUUUUUUUCCCCCCCUUUAUUUAUUUUAUGCAAGUUUAUUUCUGCAAUAUAAAUGCUGUCCUGCAAAGGCACACCCAUGUUUUACGAGGAGGUACAUGGACAGGACAUUUUUAUUAUUUUAUUUCUUUAUUGAUUACUAUCACUUAUGCUGUGAUUGCUACUAUUACUGGGUUGUUGUUUUUUUAAUUUGGUGAUAUUGGUAUUUUGCUUAGUUACUUAGUUAACAGGAACGAAAAAGACGUGUUAUCAGCAAUGAAAAGGGAGCAUAUACCGUUAAGGGAAAAUUAUACCGUCACAAGGGAAAGCUAACAACUGCAGACUGAAUAUUAGCAUUUGGUAGACUGAAACCGCAUCCACAUGAUAAAUAUGUUCUUUUCAAUGCAGCCCACUGGUAGGUCAUGAUGCUUCAUUUUAUUUUGUGAUAUGAUCCACUAGUGGGUCGGAAUUAGAAAUUCAUAACUUUUUUUUUAUGCUUUUUCAAUUUUAUGUGGCUUAGAUGAUGGUUUAUGGAUGUUCAAGUAUUUAGUCAAGACAGAUAUGAUUAUGUAACUAAUUUUAUAUAAAAACAAUGAAAGCUAAUUUACUAUAGAGACCAUCAUUAUUUUUUAAGAAGUUGUCGAAAGUAUACGUAUUUAUGAUAGAAAUAACUGUUUUCUUUUUAAAACUUUUAUCUAUAUAGACAAUUCCAUGAACAUAUCAAUGUGUUCCAAAUAUUCUGAAAAACAGUGAAUACAGCUCAUUUAUACUUACCCUUGCCUCGUAAACCACCCUGCUAGAUAAUUUUCAUACGUUUUUCCUUAUUUUUUGUAAAUAGAAAACCUUGCAUGUAGCUAGAAUUUAAUGGUUUUUCAUGACCCUCUAAAUAGAAUCACUCACUGUAUGAUCUCUGAUGGGUCUUAUCAUAGACAUUUUUUGUUCUCUAAAAUGCAGCUCAACCCACCAGUGUACACAUGUUUUAUGUAUUCAAAAGACUCUUCAAAACAUCCAACAUCCAAGUACCUCUUCAAAUAUCAGCCAAGGAAUGUUUCUUUCCUUUCGCAUGAGGGGGGGGAGCGAGUCAGUAUCAUUGCCAAUGACACGGAACAUGCUAAGUAGCGCUCACCAGGCUUUGUUGGGAAUUUUGCUGUGUGGACGUUUAUUAAAUAUUAAUAAACUAAUAAACUAAUCAAAGCCAGACUAGAGUGAAAAGAGAUGUGUGUUCUGAUAACCA
This is a non-coding RNA of Penaeus vannamei (Pacific white shrimp), 1883 nucleotides long. The record is from RefSeq and is a predicted model, not a curated record. NCBI's taxonomy places the organism in Eukaryota, Metazoa, Arthropoda, Malacostraca, Decapoda, Penaeidae.